GAGCUGUGAUGAUAUUUGGUUUAGCGAUGGUUGGGUCCUUCGCAUUCUUCUGAUCAAUUUCAGAAGUGAUUGCCAUGUGACUGAGCUC
This is a non-coding RNA of Brassica rapa (field mustard), 88 nucleotides long. Lineage: Eukaryota; Viridiplantae; Streptophyta; Magnoliopsida; Brassicales; Brassicaceae. The record is from Rfam.